AGAAGAAGAGCAGAGAGAGUUUUAAAGGCACUUUGCACAUAAAUACUCAUGAAACAACAUUGUUAUUCUCACACAGCAGGUGUAAGCAGAAGAAACAGAGACAUAACAACUUAGCAAUGCAAAAUGAGCUCCAGGCAUCAGGUAAGCCAAAAAGAAGCUAUCAAAUUAUCUUCACCUUCAGCCCCUGCAAACUGGGAUCAAGAGUGGUGGAAGAUUUCCUGUUGACAAGUUCCCUCGCACAACCAGUGCUGCAAAAAGCUGUCAAUAAGAGCUUGCCCUGUGUUAUGAGUUGGGUUGAGGGAAGUGAUGGCAUGGUGGGAAUACGUCCUAUCAUGGAGAUAUGAAGAGUGCUCGGAAGAAGAGUAAUGAAAAGGAGUCAACCUCCUCAGGGCAUCCAUGCACUGCGUACUCCCACCAUUCACAUUGUCUGACCUACCUUCUCUUAACAUCUUCUCCCCCCAACCAGGACAAUUUGCUUCAUGGGUCUGGCCCCAGUUUAAAUUUCAUGGAAGUCAAAGUGGCAGAAGUAGAAAUGUUCCUCCCUCAUUAUGGACCCUGAAGUAUGCAUGAUUUAGUGGAGAGCUGUGGAGACCAAGAAAGUAAAAAAUCGUCUUUUUCUCCCAGAAGAAUCCAUAAACGCUACAAGUCUGGCACAUUACGAGUCUCUUGGUUGACUAAACUCAAAUUAACUAAACUUAUAUCACUAAUUUCUAGGUUCUGAAGAGGAAUUCUAGUUAUUCCUUGAGAAACAAUAUUUUUGACAUUUGAAAGAAUAUCUGCAUCUUUGAGAGAUGGUAUGCAUUAUUGUAGACACAGAUUGGGAAGACCUGUUUUGGAGAUGAUGAGGAAAGUCAAACCAAAUUGUGGUAAGUUCUGUAGGCACUCAUGAGAAGCUAAAGACAAUGGAGUGGUGCCAUAAAUUUUUAUUUUAUUCAAGGUGGGGGAGACGUUGCACUAUCUAGCACUCCUUCUGCUGAAAAUAUCAAGCGCAGAGAAAGUGAUGAGUUUGGUUUUUAGUAUCCACCCUAAAUUCAAUCAGCAAGAUUAAAAUCCACUUCGAUGUGCAUGCAAAGCAUGUAUCUCCUACAAACAGAAAAUGCAUUCUGAGUGCUCUUUCAUCUGCCACAGUAGACUGGAGUUACACUGCUCACCACUCAAGAAAUAAUUUAAGUUGAUGGUGGUGGGUUUGGCUUUUCUGCUUUGUUUUUAUGUUUGUUUGGUUUGGUUUUGGUUUGGUUUGUUUUUUUGUUGGUUUUGUUUGUUUGUUUGUUUGUGGGUUUUGUUGUUGUUGUUGUUUUGUUUUGUUUUAAUUAUUUUUUUUCUAUUUUUAUCUUAAAGCUGCUCUGUUAUUGUGAAACCCUAAUGGUCUUCACACAGCCAGAAUAUGUGAAGUUAUCCAUUAUGACAAUGUUAUUAAUUCACUGUAACAAUAAACCAUGACUAUCUCUAGUGCUUUCUGCAUGUUGAAAUUCAUAUAAUUAUAUUAGUUAAUAAUGGGGGAUUUCUAUUUGUUCUCCUUUGUUGUUUUGGGUAUUUUUUUCCAAAGAGCUCUUCAUGAAACUUUCAAGUGUCUCCUACCCAUGAUUCCUUGUAGGUGCUAGGUUGUCUUAUCACAUGUAGUGUAAGGAAUCCCUUUUUCCUUCUCCUUUUCUUUUUUUAAUGAGUGUAACUACUACUUGAAAACUCUAUUCACCUUCUUUUGAGAAAGCACAUAAAAAUACAAAAUCUCUUCAAAAUUAAGCAGUCCAUAAUAAUAAAAUAGAACAAGACAGUGUUUAUCUAUUGACACUAGCAUGAUACGUUCAGCUAAAUUGAAAUUUGGAUUAUAUAUCUUUCUGCGUGUAUUUAGAAAAACAUUUACCCAACCACAACCUUUACUUCAGUUUCUUGAAGGAUAGAUUUGCUUUAUUCUUACCUCAGUGAGUUCACAAACUAUCCAGCCUGGCCUGCAACAAAGGAAAAAGUUCCUUUGUAGUGAUGCUAUUAAAAUGAAUUUGAAAGAACUGGCCACACAAUUGCUACGAAUUUUCCUCCAUCAGUUUUAGGUAGUGCUCUAAGAUUUCUAUCUGAGAUUUCCUAGGGAAAAAGGUAGGUCCCAGGACCUCUACUUUUUUCCAGUUUACCUACAACACAUGCAACCUAACAUGGCUUAAGCUAUGGAAACAAAGUGUUGAUUCUCGUUAAGAACAAUGUCAAAGAUUGGAGCUAUGAUGCAGAUGAUCAAUUUGCUAAGAUGAUUUGGGUUUAGCAUAACACAAACAUGCAAACAUGCAAACAUUUGUCAUCUGGAAAACAUAACAGAGUUUCCUGUCUCCAAAGUCAGACAGGAAAGAAGGUAUUUUUUAUGACAUGUUAUCAGCCUGACUUAUCUCUUCGUUAAGACACUGGCAAAGAAAGAUUCACACUGGUGUCAAUUACAGAUUGACCUGUGCACUGCCUUCCACAAAAGGAAUAUGAGCACAAUUUCACUACCUAAGCCAGUAGUGGUAACUGAAAAAGGAUAUGCAUGUUCCUUCCAAUGUGAUAAUAUCAAUAUCCAAUAUCCAUAUGUAAAUACACCUGUCUGAGUCAUUCUUGUUAGUAAAAGCUUUUAAUUCUUUUGGUUGUUGGUUGGCUUUCUUCCCUGAGAAAUAUAUUCAAUUUUCAACAAAAAAAACCCUAUAGAGAGUAAUGUUUUCUACAAUCCCCCUGAAGAAUUUCCAUAAGAACCCCAAAAGUUUAGAAGAAAAUUACCUGAGUAAUUUUAUUUUGCCAAAUAUCUUUACUAGUUAGUGCUAGUCACUCCAGUAAGAGCAUAAUACAAUAUUGAUUAUUAGAAUUCCAUAAGCAGGGAAAAAUCUUACUGCAUUAUACUCUUCACUGUAAAUUUCAGGAAGAUUUAUACUUCUUUUCCUAUACUCUAUCCAAAAGAGUUGAUUAUGAAUAUACAACAGUAAAGACCCAGGAAUAAAAAUGUUUUAACAGCAGUUUAUACUCCAAUUUAACAAACAAAUAAUAUCUUCAACUACAUCAUGUAUUAACUAUGACACAGCUGCUUCUUUUUAUAAGGGUUUGAGAGAUAAUACAGUAAGAAUGCAUCCUGUCAGGCUGCUUUAUCCUCACUUCUUGGGUUUGGAGAAGGAUGGAAGCAGGGGGUUGCUUUGUGAUACAUGCCAUCUCCCUGAAUUUAAGAAGAGUUUUACAUCUCUUCCACACAUAUAAUCCUUUUGAUGAACCCUCUAGAAAUAAGACCCCAAAAGAAGGAAGGGGAGGAAGUGAGUACCUUUUUUGCACAGUGCAGACAUUUUUGGUAGGGAACAACCUCUGUCCCUCACUCAUCCUCUGUGUUGUGUGAUCUGCAGGCAGAGAUUCAUGUGUGAAAUAAGGUAAAGUGCAGAGAAAAGCAAUAUCUCUCAACUGUGUCAUAACUAAGAUGACUUAUUUCUUUAGAGUA
Molecule: long non-coding RNA, 3433 nt
Organism: Pseudopipra pipra
Lineage: Eukaryota; Metazoa; Chordata; Aves; Passeriformes; Pipridae
Exons: 4
Source: RefSeq, a predicted model, not a curated record